GGAGAGGUGGCAGAGUGGCCGAUUGCACCGGUCUUGAAAACCGGCGUAGGGUCAAACCUACCGGGAGUUCGAAUCUCCCCCUCUCCG
This 87-nucleotide transfer RNA is filed under the name Fuerstiella sp. RNAcentral describes it as "tRNA-Ser". It matches the Rfam family "tRNA". Rfam says of the family: Transfer RNA (tRNA) molecules are approximately 80 nucleotides in length. Their secondary structure includes four short double-helical elements and three loops (D, anti-codon, and T loops). Lineage: Bacteria; Pseudomonadati; Planctomycetota; Planctomycetia; Planctomycetales; Planctomycetaceae. The record is from RNAcentral.